This 353-nucleotide ribosomal RNA is filed under the name uncultured rumen bacterium. Its description in RNAcentral is "bacterial SSU rRNA". It matches the Rfam family "Bacterial small subunit ribosomal RNA", at positions 19 to 362 of the family's 1533-position model. The record is from RNAcentral.
UUGGCUCAGGAUGAACGCUGGCGGCGCACAUAAGACAUGCAAGUCGAACGGCCAAAUUUUUUAGUUUANUAAGAGAAGAGGUUAGUGGCGGACUGGUGAGUAACGCGUAAGCAACCUGCCUAUUAGUAUGGAAUAACAGUGAGAAAUCACUGCUAAUACCGUAUAAGCUGCGAAUAGCACAUGCUAUAAACAGAAAAGGAGCAAUUCGCUAAUAGAUGGACUUGCGUCUGAUUAGUUAGUUGGUGAGGUAACGGCCCACCAAGACGAUGAUCAGUAGCCGGACUGAGAGGUUAAACGGCCACAUUGGGACUGAGAUACGGCCCAGACUCCUACGGGAGGCAGCAGUGGGGAAU